This is a long non-coding RNA of Lates calcarifer (barramundi perch), 491 nucleotides long. RefSeq lists it as uncharacterized. Lineage: Eukaryota; Metazoa; Chordata; Actinopteri; Centropomidae. The record is from RefSeq and is a predicted model, not a curated record. The transcript is spliced from 3 exons.
AGAGAGAUGCCUUCCUGCUCUCAGAUGAGCACUGAGGACAUAACAGAGCCCAGAGACGUCUGAGCCCUCGAGAUUGGAUUCUUUGCUCCAGAAUAAAUUUAAGUCAAAGGUUUCCUCUGGAUAAAUGCUUUUGUUCUUCUCACUGUGGCUGCUGUUGUCAUAGGGAGUGUGGAUGCUAUCUGUGGACAGGAAUGAUAAUGGGAAAAUAAGGCUCAAGGGUCUUUGCUACUGACAUCCUCCUAAUUGUUCUUAUCCAGCCAAUGGAAAUCAUCCGGGUACACUUUAGUGUCCCCUGGUGGUAAAGCAGAGGCUGUGCAGACUGUGGGUACCUUCCUGGAUCUGAUCAGAUGACACAGCACCAAUGCCAGGCACUGCAGAUGGGAUCAGUAUUUUCGGUUUAAUCUGGGCAGUGAGGAAUGAGACAAAACCUUUGAGGGACCUUAUAGACUGCUUUAACAAAGCCACGAUGCAUCUCAUCAGUAAAGUCAUCU